UAUAAAUUAUUUUAGAAGAGAAAUAUGGUUUUGUCUGCAUUGGUAAAUUUAUCUGUGGUUAUCUGUGGUCAUUUCAAUCUAUUAUUAUUCAAGGCGAAUGGUUGUGAGUUUGUAUGAAUGAAUUGAUGCAUUCUCAACAUAUAGGUAACACAAACAGUAAUCAUAUUUGCAUCUCUAAUUUGAUUCUUUUUUUUUUCGGUUGCUUCUAAUUAAAUAGUUAUUUUAAUUUUCUCCUUUAAGUAACAAUCAGUGGUUUGCUUGAAGGAAUGCUAUCAAAUUUUAAUUUCUCUUUAUUUGUUGGUUGGUUGUUGAAGUAUUCAUGAUGGAAUAAAAAUGCUACUACGAAAGGACUCCAAUGAAAGAUCGAUUCUUUAUACGACUUGGUUUAGUUUAUAUGCAAAACAUAUUUUUAUUGAAUAAUGAAACUACAGUGAAUGUUGGAACUUCUGACUUAAUUUCUAUAUCUAGACGAUGAUUUGACUCUGUUUUAUCUACAGAUGUGUGCUAUGUAAAUCUGAUUAUCUUGGUGUUCCAUUAUUUAUCUAUUUUAAUUCAUAUGGACAAGGCUUCCUCCUCACAUAAUUCCAUGAAUAAGAGGCCAUGCUCUUGUAACUUUGUUACUCUUGCAAUUUUCCUCUCUAUGGCUUUCUUUGUUGGGAGCCCUUUUCUUGUUAGUGACUACAAAUAAAUACAUUUAUUUCCUUUUGAUUUUAUCCUAAUGACACCUCAAAUAUUUCUGUCCACUCCUCUAUAAAUUUCAUUUUAACAAAGUUAAUUUGCAACAAGCAACGCAACUUUGAACCAUUAAAUGUACCCUUUAUACUUUCUUUGGUAUAGUACACCAGUGAAACAGUGGUAGGAAUCUGUGUCUUGAUAAAUAAUGAGAACAAAACCUUUUAGCUGAGACUGCUUCCUUAGCUUUGCAGAAAUUACUGGGAUGGGGAAUAACUGAUUCCUUUCAGAGUAAGAAAGGUAAUUUAUCCAAGGUCAUAGUCACUCUUUUCUAAAUCUUUUGGUGUUGAUCAUGUUGUUUCUUUGUAAGCACUUACAUUUCCCUGUUAAUUAUUAUAUCGGUUUAAGAGUCAAUGCUAGCCUUCAAGGAGUGAGCCAUUACCAAUCGGCAUUGUUAACAGCACAAUGAACUUGGAAAUGAGACCACUAUGGAUUGUGAGCAAUCUUCCCAAAGAAAGUUGGGAUAAAGCAAAAGGAAAUUGUUAAUCAAAUUGUUAAAAAGGUAUGUAUUUUUGUCUGGUGGAUGCCUUUUUCUAGCUCUACAAUUCAUGAUUCUUAUCCCUUUUUAUAUGAAUUACUUCUCUGAUUAUUUAUUUCAUUAUUUUUAGUUCUUUCCCAAUGAUUUCACUGACAUGCUUUUCCAUUAUGAUGGUGUUGUUGAUGAAUGGAGAGACUUGCACUGAAGCGAUAAUACAUUGCAUUUUUUUUUUUUUUGCAAUAAAUCAAACCAAGUGGUAGAGGCUUUUCUUUUUUCAUUUUUCUUAAGGUUUGUGUUGCUUGUGUUUACAAUAUGUGCAUGUUUGUUCCUAUAUGUGCACCAUUUAUUUAUUUAUUUAUUUAUUUUGUGAUUAUAGGUGUUUUGCAAAGUAUUUCUUACAUCCAGAUAUUGUUGCCGAGUACAAAUAUAUUUUUCUCUAAGAUGAGGAUCUUGGGGUAGAACAUUUCCGUCUAGGGCAAUAUGUGCAAUUUUGUGGACCAAACCUAAUCUUAAGCCUUGAUUUUAAAGUUUCAUCAAAGAAUGGAGCUUUUCCUAUCGAGUAGUUUCCUACAUACUAUUCCAUAACCUUUAUUUAUUUCUUCGGUGUUUUUUUUAACUUGGUUUUAUUAUUGCAUCCACCUUUUUUAUGCUUAAAUGUUCAAUCCAUGAUCCCCUUAAGUACUUCGUGCUUAUACAUGACCAAUGAUCUUUAAUGCGACAAAGCAUUAUGAUAUGAUUAUCAAGAAGCAUGUUUCACUACUAAAGAUGUGUGUCAUAGGAACUGAGACAUCAUUGGAAUUUUAAUUACUUAAGAAACAUAGUCAACUAUCUGCAGUUAUUUAUCAAUUGUUGAGAGGGUAAGGAUUGGAAAUAUCACAACCGGCAUUGGACACUAGUAAAUUUGAAGUGCAUCAUCAAAUUGUUGCAUGGAGACAAAAAGGCGAUGUUCAUAGGUCUGGUCUUAUUUUCCUUAUGAUUAUGUUGAAUAAUGUCAUUCCUUAUCUGUGUCUGCUUCUAGUCCUAUUGCAGAAGUUUAAGGAUUGUUUCCCCUUGUGUUAUAUAAAUAGAAGGAUGCACAAGUUCAAUGGUGGCGGUAGAUGCUAUGAGAACAGUACCUCUCCUCCAUGUACUGGGUAAGAUUGUGAGACCGAUUAUGAGAGAAAAAAGCCAAUGUGGG
Long non-coding RNA from Dioscorea cayenensis subsp. rotundata (Guinea yam), 2387 nucleotides. RefSeq lists it as uncharacterized. The transcript has 3 exons. NCBI's taxonomy places the organism in Eukaryota, Viridiplantae, Streptophyta, Magnoliopsida, Dioscoreales, Dioscoreaceae. The record is from RefSeq and is a predicted model, not a curated record.